ACUACUCUGAGGGGGUUGUCGCGGCUUUGGUUUCUGUCUCCUUGGAUGAUUCCUCCUUUGCUGCGCUUUCCUCAGGUUUGCUUUCAUUUACGCUAAGCUUCUCCAGCAGUCCAGCUGCAGAAGAGCCUUCUACGCUUUCGCCGCCUUCAUCCUUUGCAAGCGACUCAGCAAUCUCAUCAACCAAGUCCUUAAACUUCUUGCAAUCUAAAAAAUAGACAAGGGAGUCAUUAGCAGAGACAUUCUAGUUUCAGAAGAUCCAAAUGACCAAUAAAGUUUGCACUUAGUGAAAUAAAAAUAUGGAGCAUCAGCAUACUAUCAUUAUGGUGGCAUAGAGCAAAAGAAAUUGCACAACUAUCAGUUGACCUCUGGUUGACUGGGGCAACCCAUGCAAAACACUGCAGGUGUGUUUAGUUCCUAAACGAUAAUGAUAACCCUGUUAGGAAAGGAUGGGUGUUUGGUAGAGAAAGUUAGCUUUGCCAAGCAACUGGACUAGAAUCUUUACUCCACUGCGAGAACAUAUGCAGCUCUCUUCUGACAGCAAUUACAGAGAAAAAUGCAGCGCUAAACUGUUGUCCUGCUAGUGGGUAGAUACUGCUGCUUGAAUAUGCUCAAGUUGUAUCAGCUAACCACAUAUUAUCAAACAAGUAGCUCUGCCUGGGUAGGGUAUAUAACUCAAACAGGCCCAGUGGAACCUAACCAAGGUAAACUGGUGGGCUGAUGAUCCAAAGGCUCCCUACACAUCUUAAACGUGACUACUUGAACAGGGUAUCAGGGAAAUUUGCAGGAGAGAUGUUAUAGCUAUAGAUAAGAUUGAACAACAGCCAUAAGUAGUGACAGUACAUUUAUAUCCAAAUACACAGCUUCUACUUGGAUGAAAUUAGAAAUACCAUAAAAUGAAUAUUGAGCAAGACAGUAUGUUAAACAAGACGGAUAUAUGCCUAAUCAUUGUACUUCUCGCGUCAUUGAGCAUGACUAAAAACAAAGACUAAUGUGUGUGGCAGCUAGCAUACACCACUUAUCACAAAUCAGGCCUGUCUAUCAGUGGGGAAACCGACAUGAAACAGAACAAAAUGGGACAGUGCAUAAUCCCAAAUUAUGACAGGAAUCACUGAAACUGCAAGUUUCUAAUUUAUCAGCCCAAUUAAAUUGUAACAUGUUACACCCAGACAUUGAUUGCAGCAGACCACAAGGCCACAUAAAGAUGCAAUUAGGAAGCUACAAAUAUCAAGCAUACUUUACCACUUGAAAAGGAGGUUCAGCAUACUAUAAAAUGUAUAAAUACUCUGCAAUUGGAACAAAAACAGAUAAUUGCUGAGUUUCCCUCUGUCCCUGUGAACACUAACAUAGAGCAAGUGGCAAAAAGAACAGGGCCAACAUGCAGUCCUGUGUUCACUAUUAUUCUACAGCAGGACCUGAAAGUUGAGAUUAUGAUAUAGCUAGGAUGUUGUGGUGUAAAUUUAGAAGAAACUUGAAUGAUAUAAAUUCACAAACAUCAAGAGUCACAUGAGAACAAUGAUAGGUUGUGGUUGUGUCACCUUCACUAUGACAAGGAAUGGCCUUUGUCUCUUGGAACGUUGCCCUUAUUUAUACCACCACUAAUUAUGAAUAAUAUUUUUUAUGGUCCAUCGAGCAUCAUAAAUACUGAGAAAUUGGAUCUUUUGCCCCACUUUACUUCCCAAUUUGAUAAUUUGCCACCCCCUGAGAGGCUGCCGGGUGGGGCCGGGGCCACUGGUCAUUGAGACAACACUGGGGCAAAUCAUCCGACCCCUUGUAAAGUGGGGCAAAUCAUCCGACCCCUUGUAAAUACUAGAUUACUCCAAGAUCACAAGCUUAAGAUGUAAUACGUCGUUCUGAUAAAGGGUAUCAACACACACCCUAAAUAUGUGUCGUAUUUUUUUCAUUGACAUCUGAGCCUCAUGAACACUAUGUUGCUAUAAGAAAACUUCACAUGCUCAAGACAUAACACAACGUUCAGCUAUAGAAUGUAACCAGGCCAUGUCAAACACACUUGCGCCACACAAAGCAUACAAAAGAAAAAAAAAAUAUUACUACAAACAGGGUGAUGUAGCAUGCUAUCCAACUAAGUAGACCACGCAAGACAUAAUUGCAACAUUAGCUGUGGGGGAUAGAGUUGAGAACUCACUCUCUACAGUGCCAAACCGAAUGGCAAACAUCUCAUCCUUGAGCUCUCCGUCAGCAAAGUCUGCCGCGUGCCAGACGCAGGAUUUGUCGCUGCCGGCAUGUUCCUGCAUCUUCGUGGUCGAGAUCACUGCACACAGAAAGGAUCGAGGCCAUAACCGUGAGAUGAGAUCCUGCGAUGAAUCUACUUGAAGCGACAGAGCGAUCGGAAAUAAGGGGGCAAAAUCUGACUACAAACCUAAGUGGUUGGCGCAGAUCUUAAGCGUCUUGGCCUGGCGCAUAACAAGGCGGACCUUGCCGUUCUCCUUGUGCUUGAGCAGCUUAACGGUGCCUGUGCCCCUCUCCUUCCACUGGUUCCCGUCCUUAUCGAACCUGUAUAGCUUCGCCUUCCUGCGCAUCGCCACACGAACAACCCCAAAAAUCAGCGCCAGAUCGAGCCGAGACGAGCAAACCUAGGGGGCGCGGGGGAGCUUACAUGUCGAGGAGAGAGUCCUCGUCCUCCUCACCGGUGGUGACGGCGACCUCCUCGAGCCGCACGAUGGGGGCGACUUGGGCACCGGUGUCCUCCUCCUCGCCGGCGGCGGCGGCGGCCGCGGAGUCCUCGCCUUCCUCCUCCGCGACG
RNAcentral lists this long non-coding RNA (2761 nucleotides) under Hordeum vulgare. RNAcentral describes it as "long non-coding RNA (HVUL_LNC001702)". The record is from RNAcentral. Lineage: Eukaryota; Viridiplantae; Streptophyta; Magnoliopsida; Poales; Poaceae.